UCCUACGGGAGGCAGCAGUGGGGAAUAUUGGACAAUGGGCGAAAGCCUGAUCCAGCAAUGCCGCGUGGGUGAAGAAGGUCUUCGGAUUGUAAAGCCCUUUCGGCGGGGACGAUGAUGACGGUACCCGCAGAAGAAGCCCCGGCUAACUUCGUGCCAGCAGCCGCGGUAAUACGAAGGGGGCUAGCGUUGCUCGGAAUGACUGGGCGUAGAGGGCGCGUAGGCGGUUUAUAUAGUCAGGCGUGAAAUUCCUGGGCUCAACCUGGGGACUGCGCUUGAUACGUGUAGACUUGAGUGAGGAAGAGGGUCGUGGAAUUCCCAGUGUAGAGGUGAAAUUCGUAGAUAUUGGGAAGAACACCGGUGGCGAAGGCGGCGACCUGGUCCUCCACUGACGCUGAGGCGCGAAAGCGUGGGGAGCAAACAGGAUUAGAUACCCUGGUAGUCCACGCCGUAAACGAUGUGCGCUGGAUGUUGGGCGGCUUAGCCGCUCAGUGUCGUAGCUAACGCGAUAAGC
This 511-nucleotide ribosomal RNA is filed under the name uncultured bacterium. RNAcentral's name for it is "bacterial SSU rRNA". It matches the Rfam family "Bacterial small subunit ribosomal RNA", at positions 337 to 865 of the family's 1533-position model. The record is from RNAcentral.